GCCAAUCCCCAAGGUGGUGGCGAGCCAAACGGGGCUGCCGCGGGCGGCUGGAGCUGGACACUGUUUGUAACUGAAACCCUGGCCUGCGGCUUUGGCCACCUGCUCCUGAAACCAGCCCGCUGUUUCCGCCCACUGACCUCAGUUUCCCCAUCUGUGAGCCGGUGAGAAACACACAGCCUCCCGAGCAGCUGCAUGCGGUCAUAUCUUUCCUUUGGGAGACACAAAUCGCAUCCUGUCACUCGCCUCGAGACCCUCCCAGGGUGCCCUGCUGCUCUUAAAGUGAAGACCAACGACCUCCCCGUGGCCCCCGUGGCCCCCAAGUCCCCAGGAGGUCCAGCCCUGCUGCCCUUCCCACAUCAUCUCCCUACAGCACCUCCUUGCAAAGAAGCUCAUCCCUACCUCAGUGCCACCUCCCCUAGGAGGCCCUUCGUGGCUGCCGCAUCUAGAAGGACCCUCCCUCUGCCACGACUGGCUGUGUGUCCCACUUUAUUCAUGCUUUCCACCUCCCUCCCUGGCCCCAGACCAUGAGUCCCACAAGAGCAAGGGUGUGUCUCAGUUGUCGCCAACCCCAGCCCAGGGCCUGGUGCACAGUAGCCACCUGGCCUCCUCCAAGGGCUGGAGCCCAGCCGAAAGGAUGCGGAGAGCGAUCUUCAAGGGAGGGCACGCCGGAUGGCAGCGUCAGCAAACGCUUGAGCAAACGCGAGGAGGUGGCAACUCCAAGAGAGGAGCAUUUGCGGAGCAGCCAGCCCCGCGGCAGCUAAAGCACCUGGGCCAUGGCCUCAGUUUCCCCACCUGGAAGCAGAGGGCAAACGGAGGCUCCCCAAGCGGCGGGGCCGGGACCACUGCCCCCUGGCCUUGUCGGCUGCCAGACCUCCCUCACCCAGAGGCCUGUCUCUUUUGCCACAAAAUUCAGCAUCUCUUGGUUUCAAUCUCAGCCUCUCCCCCUCCCCCUGCCCUCGUCGAAAACCGGAAAAGUCUGUUUUGCAAACUCCGUGGGAGGCGGAAGGGGCGCGGGGCUGCCUGGGAGAGGCGCGCCGCUGCCGCCCCCUGGUGGCCGUGGGGGAACGCGCGGCAACUCGCUUAAGGACGGGGCCGGGCGCGCGGGGCGGGGCCGGG
Molecule: long non-coding RNA, 1116 nt
Filed under: Equus caballus (horse)
Lineage: Eukaryota; Metazoa; Chordata; Mammalia; Perissodactyla; Equidae
Description: lncRNA (ENSECAG00000057424.1)
Source: RNAcentral